RNAcentral lists this ribosomal RNA (324 nucleotides) under uncultured Pseudomonadaceae bacterium. RNAcentral's name for it is "bacterial SSU rRNA". It matches the Rfam family "Bacterial small subunit ribosomal RNA", at positions 1057 to 1382 of the family's 1533-position model. The record is from RNAcentral. Lineage: Bacteria; Pseudomonadati; Pseudomonadota; Gammaproteobacteria; Pseudomonadales; Pseudomonadaceae.
AGCUCGUGUCGUGAGAUGUUGGGUUAAGUCCGUAACGAGCGCAACCCUUGUCCUUAGUUACCAGCACGUUAUGGUGGGCACUCUAAGGAGACUGCCGGUGACAACCGGAGGAAGGUGGGGAUGACGUCAAGUCAUCAUGGCCCUUACGGCCUGGGCUACACACGUGCUACAAUGGUCGGUACAAAGGGUUGCCAAGCCGCGAGGUGGAGCUAAUCCCAUAAAACCGAUCGUAGUCCGGAUCGCAGUCUGCAACUCGACUGCGUGAAGUCGGAAUCGCUAGUAAUCGUGAAUCAGAAUGUCACGGUGAAUACGUUCCCGGGCCUU